CAGUCGCCGCGGUAAUACGUAGGUGGCAAGCGUUGUCCGGAAUUAUUGGGCGUAAGGGGCGCGUAGGCGGACUGAUAAGUCAGGGGUGAAAUCCCAAGGCUCAACCUUGGAACUGCCUUUGAUACUGUUUGUCUUGAGUUCAAGAGAGGUAAGUGGAACUGCGAGUGUAGAGGUGAAAUUCGUAGAUAUUCGCAAGAACACCAGUGGCGAAGGCGGCUUACUGGCUCGAAACUGACGCUGAGGCGCGAAAGCGUGGGGAGCAAACAGGAUUAGAUACCCGUGUAGUCCCUGUCUCUUAUAC
This 301-nucleotide ribosomal RNA is filed under the name uncultured bacterium. RNAcentral describes it as "partial 16S ribosomal RNA". It matches the Rfam family "Bacterial small subunit ribosomal RNA", at positions 509 to 807 of the family's 1533-position model. The record is from RNAcentral.